UUUUUUGAAUAUAGAGCAUUAAUUUUAUUACACAACCGAGAUAAUAUAUUUUUUUUCUCGAAAAAAAAAGACUAAAACGAAGGAAAAUUCAUAAAGCAAAGGAAGAAAAAUAACUUCAUUUCUUUGUUUUCCCUGUGCAGUGAAAUGCUUUUGUUUUGGGCUCCGGCGAGGUCUCGCCAAGGUGGCCUCUGCCUGAGUUCUACCUCUUCUUACCGGUGCUCCGGCGAGGUCUCGCCAAGGUAGAGGUUUGCACUGCACUGCAAUCCUCGAACGAGAUAGAAGAA
Molecule: long non-coding RNA, 284 nt
Filed under: Musa acuminata (dwarf banana)
Lineage: Eukaryota; Viridiplantae; Streptophyta; Magnoliopsida; Zingiberales; Musaceae
Description: long non-coding RNA (MACU_LNC006421)
Source: RNAcentral